This 662-nucleotide long non-coding RNA is filed under the name Glycine max (soybean). Its description in RNAcentral is "long non-coding RNA (GMAX_LNC004471)". Lineage: Eukaryota; Viridiplantae; Streptophyta; Magnoliopsida; Fabales; Fabaceae. The record is from RNAcentral.
ACUAGGGAGCCAUACGUGUUGUUUGUGGCACCUGGUUUGGCUAGUAUGUCUGAGAAGAAAUCACUCGCAUUUACCUUGCCAGCAUCUUUGCAGGUGAAUCCAUUCACUUUAACCGCUGUUAUUACCAUCACAAUUUACAAUCCACCAACAAUAAGAAAGAAUUGUAUAUAUAUGUACUACUACCACUGUCUUUUGUUGAAUCAUAAAUUAUUAUCAUGUAAAAUAAUCUUAUUGAUUUUUAUAAUAAUUACUUCAAACAUGAAUUGAAGAUUAUUUCUGAUUAUUUAAGAUGGUAAAAGUUUUUGUUCAGUCUAUUAAACUCAAAAAAUUCACACCCAAUAAAUUGUCUAUGAAUUAAAAGUUUAGUGUAUAAAUCAUGCUACAAAAAUAUGCAAUGAUUUAUGGAAUUUGGUAAUAAGUUUAUUUGAAUUGAAAAGGACACUGUUUAUGUGGUGGUGUUUCAAUUGCAGCCAUACAGGGGAGGAGGAAGAAAAGUUAAUCAUAUGGUGGGGAUACUGCACUACAUGAUUAAACUUUUGAGUCAUUAAAAAGCAGAAUUAAAGUAGUUGGUAGGUCGAAGAGAGUGAGUUGGAUUAACGUGGUUAGAGGAUGAAAUCAAAUGAUUAAGGGGAAAAGUGGAAGUAUGCAUGAAAGUGUGCAUC